UGGGGAAUAUUGCACAAUGGGCGGAAGCCUGAUGCAGCAACGCCGCGUGAGUGAUGAAGGCCUUCGGGUUGUAAAGCUCUGUCUUUUGGGACGAUAAUGACGGUACCAAGGAGGAAGCCACGGCUAACUACGUGCCAGCAGCCGCGGUAAUACGUAGGUGGCAAGCGUUGUCCGGAUUUACUGGGCGUAAGGAUGCGUAGGCGGAUUUUUAAGUGAGAUGUGAAAUACCCGGGCUUAACUUGGGUGCUGCAUUUCAAACUGGGAAUCUAGAGUGCGGGAGAGGAGAAUGGAAUUCCUAGUGUAGCGGUGAAAUGCGUAGAGAUUAGGAAGAACACCAGUGGCGAAGGCGAUUCUCUGGACCGUAACUGAC
RNAcentral lists this ribosomal RNA (370 nucleotides) under uncultured bacterium. Its description in RNAcentral is "partial 16S ribosomal RNA". It matches the Rfam family "Bacterial small subunit ribosomal RNA", at positions 355 to 744 of the family's 1533-position model. The record is from RNAcentral.